AACAGGGACACCAGUGGCGGCAAUGGCAGCAGCAGCAUGAUCUUGAGUAGAAUAAAUGUUGCAAGAGGACCAGGUAACUUCAGCACCCAAAGCAACCAAAGUUUCGAUGAGGACGGCGGUUUGGAUGGUCAUGUGAAGGCAACCAGCAAUACGGGCUCCCUUCAAAGGCUGAGACUUGGCAUAUUUCUCGCGAACAGCGAU
Molecule: non-coding RNA, 201 nt
Organism: Schizosaccharomyces pombe (fission yeast)
Lineage: Eukaryota; Fungi; Ascomycota; Schizosaccharomycetes; Schizosaccharomycetales; Schizosaccharomycetaceae
Source: the annotation of a GenBank genome assembly